Molecule: RNA transcript, 31886 nt
Organism: Loxodonta africana (African savanna elephant)
Lineage: Eukaryota; Metazoa; Chordata; Mammalia; Proboscidea; Elephantidae
Gene: TSEN15
Gene name: tRNA splicing endonuclease subunit 15
Exons: 10
Source: RefSeq, a predicted model, not a curated record
GACGGCUGCGACCUGUGGGCCCCCGAGGACGCCUGGAUGGGCACCCACCCUAAGUGUGUCUGAGUCUGGAAGCUCCACUGAAACCUGUUCAGCAUUAUAGCAACACGUAAGCCCCCACUGAUAGAUGGGUGCUGGCACUGAAUGAGAUGCACUGGCCAGGCAUCGAACCUGGGUUUUCUGCAUGGAAGUAUUUAGAGAUGAUGGAAUUAGAUAUAGGAGACGCUACCCAAGUUUAUAUAGCAUUCUUGGUUUACCUGGAUCUCAUGGAGAGUAAAAGUUGGCAUGAAGUGAACUGUGUGGGAUUACCGGAACUCCAGCUCAUCUGCCUUGUUGGUACUGAGAUAGAAGGAGAAGGGUUACAGACUGUAGUGCCUACCCCCGUCAGUGCAUCCCUGAGCCAUAACAGGAUAAGGGAGAUCUUAAAGGCAUCUCGAAAAUUGCAAGGCGAUCCAGAUUUGCCGAUGUCGUUUACUCUGGCCAUAGUGGAGUCUGAUUCCACCAUAGUCUAUUAUAAGCUUACUGAUGGAUUUAUGCUGCCGGACCCUCAGGUCAGUUUCGAGAAUAUUUCACUUAGAAGAUGACAGCUAUACUUCCUGAUGCUUACCUUGUUCAUACAAGAUUGGAUUUGAGACCCAUCAGCUUGCUUUAUCUUUAAUCUCAGAGACAGUCAGGGUUGAUUUAGCAGGUCCAUUCCAUAAGUUUUCUUUCUGAAAGAUAAAUGUUUCCAGGUAGAAGAAUGUUUUCUGUUAAAAAAUAUAGGAUAAUUGCUCUAGAACUUUCUUAUCUGGAGACAGUUUAAUUAUGGUUAUAAAUACAUUUAUGCCAAAGAUGUGUUCAAAAAGGUGGAACACAUGUCUUUUCUGUCAUCCCACACUCAUCGCUGCCUCCGUGUUCGUUGAUGCCGCUGCUGACUCAUUGUUGAGCCUGCCACCUCUUUGCUUUCCGCAACUCUCCCAAAGCCUUUUAGCCACAACUAGCCUGCAGUGACAUUUCAUGUACACUUGGACACUUAAAGAGUUUACUUCUCUCUCCUUAUAUAGAAAGUAUGUAUCUUUCAGUUGGUUUUCAUAUUGCAAUAACCAAGUUCAUCCAGAGUGUAAACUUACAUAAUUAGAUUAAUAGGGACCAGAGAAGUACUGGAUCUUCCUUUUCACUUUUAUAAGCACCACCCUUAUUAUAUAAAAACCAAAAUACCAAAAACAUUGCCAUCGAGUUGAUUCCGACUCAUAGUGACCCUAUAGGACAGAGUAGAACUGCCCCACAGGGUUUCCAAGGAGAAGUUGGUGAAUUUGAACUGCUGACUUUUUGUUUAGCAGCCGAGCUCUUAACCACUGCACCACCAGGGCUCUCCUUAUUCUAUAAUACCUAGAAUAUUAUAAGAAAUAAUGUGGGACAGUAUCAGCCUUAAAAAUAUCUUCAUUAACUAGUCUGUUAUUCGACUUUUGUUAAUCUCUCCCAAUUAAGUUGUCCAAAGUAUGAAAAAUUAAUGCGCAAAGAUGUUCCAGUAGCAUGACUUGUAAUAUCCCAAACAUAAACCACUUAAAAAUUUAGGGCUGGGAUCAGCAAACUUUUUCUGUAAAGGGCCAGGUAGUAAAUAUUUUUAGGCUUUGAAGGCCAUGCAGUAUCUGCCACAACUUCUCAACCCUGUCAUUUGUAGUGUAAAGGCAGCCAUAGACAAUAUGUAAACAAAUGGGCAAGGGUUUGUUCCAACAGAACUUUAUAAAUGCACAGCCAUAAUUUUCCAAGCCCUAGUCUAACAGCAAGGGUCAGCCACUUUUUUUUAUAGGGCUAGGUAGUAAAUAUUUUAGGCUUCACAAGCCUUAAAAAGACUAUCACAUAUUCUUGUUUCUUUAUAACCCUUAAAAAUGUAAAAACUCUUCUUUGCUUGUGGACUGUACGAAAAGAGAUAGUGCACCAAGAUUGGUCCAUUGAGCAGCCCCUGGUCUACUGAAACAGUCAAUAAACUUAUAUACAUAUAAUGGUACAUUCAUUAAAAAUUAGUAAUGAAUAUUAUGAAGAAACAUGAGAAAGUAUUAAGUAAAAAAAUCAAUAUACAAAAGUGUAUGAAUAGGUGUGAUUGUGGCUGUAAAUAUCACACCACGCAAAAAUAAAAAGAUGACAAAGUAACUCAAAUUGCUAACUGUGGUUUUAGUAGGAUGGCAGGACAGUAAAUGAAUAACUUUGUCUUUUCCCUAUUUGUAUUACUUUCAUAAUAAAAAUGUUUUAAAAUUAAAAAAAGUGUCUUGAAACAUGUAUUAGGAAUCUAUUGUUGGGUAAUAAUAUUACACAAACUUAGCAGCUUAAAACAGUCCACACUAUUCUCACAGUGUUUGUGGGUCAGGACUCUGGCAGUCCAAGUGUUUUCCGGGGCUGCAGUUCAUCUUAGGUUCGACUGAGGAAGGGGUCACUUCCUUACUUGUGGUUGUUCAUAGCUUGCAGGUCCCUGUAAGCUGUUAACUGAGGGUCUCAGUUUUUAGCUAGCUGUUAGUGAGAGGCCACCCUCAGUUCCAGGCCACGUGGGCCUUCUCAGCAUGGCCGAUUACUUCCUCAACGCCAGCAAGGGAGAGAGUCUUAGCAAGAUGAACCUUGUAAUCUUAUGUAACAUAAUCAAGUAUCCUGUCCCCUUUGUCACAUUCUAUUGGUUAGAAGCAACUCACAGGUCCUUCCGACGCUCUGGGAUUUCAUAACUAAUUAGGAAACAAUUACAAGAAUGGAAGAAUGACAAAAAUUAGGAAUAUUGCAAAAUGAUAGACAUGGCUCUUGAUCCGCAGUAGUUCCUAACUCUUCCUUUGAUGGCAUUUGGAUUUUGCCUUUAUUCUCUAUGGAUGUUCCUGACAACUCUGUUAGAUUCCCUCUUGCUUCCCUACCCUUUGCCAUCGAGCCAACACCGAGUGAUAGCGACCCUUCUGCUUCCCUAGAAGGCCAGAAGAUGCGGUAUGCAGAGCAGGAUGUUUUUCUGUGACUAGUGUGUUUGCAGAUCUGAGAACCCUAAAACAGUUUAUGAUCAAUUCUUCAGGUGCGUGCCAUUUGAUUACUUUUGAAGUUUUUCGUCAUCGUGCUAGAAAAACAGCAUGUGUUUUCAGAAGUGUAAGGUUUAGCAAGUGCCAGAGCUAUGUGUCAGAUUGGACUGGUGUUAGUGGCCUCCUAGAUAACUACAAAACCAAAAGUAUCUUUUGGGUUUGACUGCGAAAAGAGCUUUCUCAAAGAAAUCUUUAAAACCAGACCUCAGUCCCACUAUGUGUCCUGAGGCGUUCACUUUCAGGGUGUUCCCUAUGUACUUGACCAAAGAUGUUCCUGCCCACAGCCAGUCAAGUGUGAGCUAAUGUGAUAAUAACCCAGAACAGUUUAGAAAGGGAGGCAACCCAGCUGUGUCUGUCCAUUUAAGUGAACAACUAGGUAAAGUGAUUUUUGUUUGACGAAGUAAUUUUUGUAAACGCAUUUACAUGUGCCUUCCUCGUGGGCCUAUAAACAGCCAUGUCUAUUUUUUUGUACCUUGUACAGUAACUCAUAUAGUUGACUCCCAAUAAAUAUUUGAUUAGUGAGUGAGUGAGUGCUGACUGUAGACUUAACUUGGGAUAUAUGUAUGCCUAUGUGUAUAUGUGUGUAUGUGCUUGCGUUUUGCCUGAAGGCAAAUCGAAAUUAUCCAUUUGGACACCAGAGGGCACUGCUGGAUAAGCACAGAAUUUCAGACAUGAGCAAAUUAGCUUGAGAAUUGGUGCUCUUGCAAACUGAUUUUCAAUCUGGGGGAAAUAGCAUAAAUAAAAAUAAAGCUUUGUGUGCUCUACCCCCUUUUUCUUUCUGGUGUGGCUCUAAAAUUAUACUACUGACAUUAAAUAUAUGAUUUGAUUCAUGCUUUGUUGAAAAUGGGAAUUUAUAUUUAAAAUUGAAAGCUAUUUGGGGAGGUGUUUUUUUCUUGGCUGAUUUUGUUCCUAUCUAUAUGAAAUUAUACAUUUCAAAUUUUCCUUGCAAAAGCCUUCUUUAUGAAAUGAAUUUCAGUAUCAGGUCACAUAACAAAUCCCAGCUCUGAAACACUCAACUGUACUGGUGGUGGGAGACGUUAAUGGGUGCCAUAAUAUAUACGAACUUCUCUAUAAAAAAAGCCCUCUCUAGAGGGGGACAGGAAAGAGGGAAAGGGUGGGCAAUUGAUUUCUCUGUGGUGCUGACCUCCCCUUUCUUUUCAGUAGUCCCUGUUCUUUUCUCCAUCUUGCCUAGGAUGGCUCAGUGGAACACUGGGUAAUCCUAGUCCAUUGGCCUCAGACUUAUUUUGCCUCACCUGUCUGGGCCUCUCUAGAAGAAUGUGUUCCUAAACACCAUAGAUCUCUUGUAAAGAAUAUGAGGACAAAGGCACUUUGGAAUUCUAAUCUACAAUUAGAGUAGCAAUCUCCCAUCCUAUAAAGCUUAUGGAGCCCUGGUGGUGCAGUGGUUAAGAGCUACGGUGGCUAACCAAAAUGUCGGCAAUUCAAAUCCACUAGCUGCUCCUCGGAAACUCCGUGGGGGCAGUUCUACCCUGUCCUGUGGGGUCGCUAUGAUCGGAAUCGACUUGAUGGCAAUGGGUUUGGUUUUUAAAAAGUUCAUGUAAUCUGUAUCUUUUUGGCCAAAACAACUUUACGCUUUUAUAAGCCUGGAACCGAAUGACUUAACCAAAAUGUCCUGGUGCUUCAUCUUCUCUUUCUGAACAUUUCUGUUCUGAAUUCCUCUCUGAGCUCACUUUUUCCAUUGCAGCCCCCAGCAAGGGACUUUUUCAUUGCAACACAGUGGUUCUUGCCAAAGUUUAUAGUUCUUCUGUACAGAAGCUCUUUAUUCAUCUGCCAUAUUUUACCUUGACUGUUUACAUGUGCAGAAUAAUGUAGUAUCCUCUGAACAAAUAAUAGUGCAAUUUUCCCUUUCUGGCCAAUAGCUGUUCCGUUUCUUAGCCCUGCCACUCCACCAGCCUGAUCCUCUUAAUGAUCUCUGAGUAAGAACAGCUUGUGUUCACUAAGGAAAGAGGAUGGAAAAAUUACAUGUCUGUUGGGUGGGUGUGCUUUUAUAAAUGUUUAGACGAUUCUGGAAAAUUUCCCCCAAACCAGUUUAACCAUAAUCGAACAAAUGUUGGCAUUUUAGGUUUCAGGUAAUAUUACCCAAACCAAGCCAAACCCAGUGCCGUCAAGUCGAUUCCGACUCAUAGUGACCCUAUGGGAUAGAGUAGAACUGCCCCAUAGAGUUCCCAAGGAGCACCUGGCGGAUUAGAACUGCUGACCCUUUGGUUAGUAGCCGUAGCACUUAACCACUACACCAUCAGGGUUCCCAGGUAGGAUUAAGAAGUACUUAAUUAAAGUUCACUUCAUUUAUUAAUUUACCUUUAUACAUUAACUAAGCUCCUUCUGUGUGUCUAGAUACUGUGAUACAGGCUACGGAUACAGAGAUUAAUAAGGCAUGACCUCUGCCCUCAAGGAACUUAGACAGCCAGUUAUAACUCUCCAUAGCCCGAACUCUAAAACCAUGUAGUCAAUGUGAAUAAAGGAACACUCAUCACACAGUUUUGAAGUUUAUGUAGUUCAUGCAGUUCACUUAAGGGUAAAGAGGUCCAACAACUUCUGGUAGAUUAGUUUUCAAACAACCCACGCGUGUGUAUUAAUUGUCCCCACGGGCUUGACAUUGGGUAGGACACAAGGAAAUAUUGCACAAUGUACCUCUCAAGGAACUUAUUGUCUAGCUAGAGAGGAGAAAAUCUACAUAUAUGAAAUAGUUUUAGAGCAUUAAAAGGCAGCAUUAUAUAUAAAUGCUAAAUUACUAUUCUGUAGAACUUUAUUCACUAUGAAAAGCUUCUAUACCCUUUAUCUUCUCACAACAGGCUGAUGUUGUUAACUUGUAUUAUUAUCACCAUUUAAUAGGUGGAGAUAUUAGAGCACCAAGUGGUUAAAUAAUGGCUUGUGCAGUACCAAGUGAGUGGGUAAAUGAUGAUUAGAGCCAGGUCUCCUGACACCUAGUCCACUGUUUUUUUCAGACUACCAUGCUGUCUCUUGUAUGGUACAGAGGAAUAUAUUAAUGUAUGUCAAAGAGCCUUUGAGAGCAGGGGGAAAAAAACAACUCUGUUUAGUCCUGGAGAGAGUUAGGAAGUGAUUUAGGGAUCAGUUAUAUUAUCCUUCUACAUUCUCAAACAAAUGUAUCAAAAUGUCAAACUGUGGAUAAUUUGGAAAUCCAAAUACUUGUAAAGUUUUACUCCGAAGAACAUAUACAUUCAUGUCCAUUCUUUUAUGUAGGCAAACCUAAAACAAUACUUAAUAUUAAAUGAGAAGGAUCUCAGAAAGUUUCUGUAUUCGUUAGAGCUAAAUUUUAUGCUGUCACAAAGAGUAGAUGCAGGGAACUUUUAAAUGAUGAUUUCAUCUCAAUGAGGAAGGGUCCUGUACCCCAAAUAUCUCCCAAAUCUUCUUGAUAUUGCUUGAAAUCGUACCGUAAUUCUUAAUCAUGAAACUUUGAUUCAACUUAAAUGUGACAAACAGUUUUGUAGCACCUCCAUGGGCAAGGCACAGUGCUAGAUGUUGGGGAAUAUAAGUCCAAAUAUUUUAUUAUUAUAUCCAACAAAGAAAAUUAAUCAGUGAAAUUGUUAAAAGAUUUUCUACAUGUACAUACCUUGUUGUGCACCGCAGUAUUUUGUGACUGGCAUCUGUGUGUGGACCACACUUUGAAUAAUGUUUUUGAGCUCAGAUGAGACGUGAUGAGAGCCUGAACCCCAACAAUAGCCCAAGUAGUCAGGAUGGACUAGAUUAUGAUGCAGUAACAGCCGGUAACUUCUAACAAAUGUUUAUUUCUUGCUCACAUUACACAUCCAUCGCAUCUCGUCUAGGGGUUCCUUACUCUGGGAAUCAGGUUGACAGCGUCUCUACCACCUGCAGUGUUGUUGGUUCCAGUGGCAGGAGGAAGACAGUGUUGUAGUGUCUCAUAUUGCAAUUAAAUGCGUCCACCUGAAGCAACAGAUGUCAUUCUUGUCCACAUUUUUUGGCCAAAACAAGUCACAUGGCUGGCCAUGAUCAACUUCAAGAAGGAGGGGAAUUGCAAUUCAAUCCCAUGGCUGGACUAAGGAGUGGUGGACUAUUGAGAGAACAGCAUUUCCUGGUAAAGGAACGGAGAGGAGAGAUAACGAGGGGGUAGAUUUAACCACUGAUUAGCUGUGGAGAGCAAAGAAGAAAAAGGAGUUAAACCUCAAACUGUUCUGAAUCACUUUACAGUGGAGGAAUUUCAAGUUGCAAUGGGAAUAUGGUGAGAGGACGUUGCAGGAACGUCAGGCCAUGAAACACCACCAAGGUGGGAAAGGGCCAUCUGGGAACUGAGAAGAGUAAAGCUUGGAAGGCAAACUUCUUCCCACUUGCCUGCUCACGUUCUGGAUUUAGUAUCUGAUCUCAGAAAGGAGAUACUUUAUGUAUCAGGAACCUAGGGUCACUGGAGACUUGACUUCUUCUGAUGCAUCAUGGGCUGUUACACAGACUGUGUUGUCCUGGUCUUUCCUAAGAUGGAGCAAGAAAGUAUUUGCGCCUAUGGCGCAGAGGAUUUAAUUGAGGCCUGAGAGUAUAUUUCUGAAGGAAGCUGGUUCAAAACGAAUGGAUGGGGCUGGGUCUGUGAGGAGAAUAGUGACUUCUUUUCCGGGAUUGGUAUUUGUGUAGCAUUGUGAACUUGUCUUGUUUGUAUUGAUCUAGAUGACUUGCAGGGUACAUUAGCAUGGGAUAUGUGGAGAGAAGAUUGAGGGGUGGGCAUCAGCCCUCAGGGUUCUCGUCAGCUCAUGUCAGUUCUCGUCAGUUCAUGUCAGUUCUCGUCAGUUCAUGCUAGUAUCAGCUGAAUUGAAUAUCAUCCUCCUGUGUGAUUGGCCCGCAGAGGUCACUGCUGUGUCCCUCUAAUCCUUGGCCACAAAAUCUUUCAGAUCUGGGUCUCUCUCAGCUAUUUCUUUUGGGCACUUGGAAAAGAUUUAGUUCUGUUCCUGAACUCCAUGGGCAUGUGGGGAACUUUCAGGCUGUCUUGGAUCCUCUCUGUCUAGAUAUGCUUCCUAGCCAGCUGUUAUUUUCUACUGUCUCUUCAGCAUGCUGUUGAGUGACCUUAAGGGCCUGGGGCCUGUCGAGGCUUCACCUGAGCCUCAAGGUAGCCUGGAGAGAUGGGGUGGGGAGCGCUGGGCACAGAUUCCCUUCACAUUACCCCAAACCUAACUGGAGUGUCUAUUAUCUCUGCUCUCCACCAGGAGCUCAGUCAGAAUGUAACCCCUCCUGAGGCCAGGCAGAGAGGCCAGAACACAGGCUUCUGGUCAGUGACCCAUUCAAGGGUCUAACUCUUUUGCUUUUUGUUCUCUCCUCUACCCCAGUUUUGUCUAGUUUUAUCUUGUUUUUAGGGGUGGAAAAAACUGACUCUGACCACUUGCAAUCUAUUUUUCUUCCAAAUAUACUAUUUUUGCUAAGAUUUCACAUUUCGAAAUUCAAGAGCCAAGAAUUUGCCUCUUUUAUUUUGUAUUGUAGUAUAAUCCUGUCCUUGUGGCAGUGUGCCAAGAAAGGAUAUGUGAGAAAAAGUUCACAGGUAAUAAGAAUUACUGAGAAGGGAAAACAUCAGUUAAUAUAUCAAAAUGUUAUCCUGCCAUAUUUGCCAGCAGGAGAUGUUAAUUAUCAUUAACAUGCAUAUGUAUACUGACAAGAAUCAUUUAAUUUUCUUAGUGCAUAUCUUGUGUACCAGUCUGCAUCCUACCUAUUGCUAAUACAGUACCUGGCACAUAGUAGGAGCACAAUAAAAGUUUUAUUUGAUUGCAUUCAAAUGUUCAUAAAGAGGCUACCCUAAACAUAGUCCUAGUAUUGCUAUUCCAUGGCAGGGUGAGAAUUGGCUGUUUGCCUGCUUGUCAACCCCAGUGUAGAAAGAGGAGUCCUGGGUUCUCUGGGCCCCAGGAGAGAUCUCAUUCUGCGCUAUAUGCUCUUACAAACAUGCUUAUGCUCUGAGACACAUUAUGUUUGUAUCCUUUGCCUUAGCAGUUUUGAGAAAUCAAAACAAGGAUGUCUAAACAAAGUAUAUCUGGCUGAUAAGCUUAGUUUAUAUUUGAUUACACAUUCUUUUCUAUUCUAAACCCAUGCAUUCAUUUAUCCAGCACUUUUGGGGGAAAUGGAGACAUGCAAACAUUGCUAAUCUGAAAACUCUUCUUAGAAAUCAUAAUUCCCCGCUCAGAAAUAUAAAAUUAUUAUGAUUAUGCUUCUGUUGCUGACCACAGUUGAGGACUCUGUGGUUUUAAAAAAUAAGUGAAAAAUUGUUCACCUCUUUUCCCAUCCCAAGUGAAAUGAUUAGAAAAUUUGGUUCUUGGAAAUAUCACCUAAGUGGGCUUUUCCUGGGUUGUGGGUUCUCAGUUCUUUAGGUAUAAAUGAAUGUAAUUCAUCCACUUUGAACCUCAUAUUUCCAUCUCCAUAGGAUGAAGGAGUUGGUGCCAGUACUAUCUGCAAGCCUUUCUAGCCCUAAAAUUUGGUAAGCUUAUGACUGACCAAUCUGGCAGCAUAGAUCCUCUUUUCUCAUCAUUACUCUCUUCCCUCCUCUACCGCAUUUUUUCAAAAGUCCUUCCAGUCAUGAGCUUUGAUAAUCUACCAUUAGAAUUGUGUUCCUUUGAAUUUUUGAGGCUCAAGAGACUUAAAGGCAGAGCUUGGACUUCAGACCAUCCGGGAUAACAUGGGAGAGUUAGGUAAUGCCCCUGAGCCUCAGUUUCUUGUCUGUAAAAUAAGGGACAAAAUAUGUUCUUUCAAGGCUGUGUUUUCCUCACAUAAUAAAAUAAUUAUGUGGGGAUAGAUGAAGCCUCGCACACAAUAAGCUGUCAGUGUUCCAUUUCCUUCGCAGUCUCCAAGUGCUUCCCAUUGAAGUGCAAGUCGCCACCUUUGGUGGGAAUACACAACUCUCUGAGAGCCGGGUCUCCAAAGAAUGGGACCUAGAUGUGCAGUGGGGGUAGGAAGGAGGUGCAAGAAAGAGGGGUGGGAAGAUACCAAAGACAAAAUUUGCCCUUUGAAAAUUUUGUCAAGCUUAACACUGCUGCUGUUGCUAUUGUUACUGCUGCUGGUGAUGAUGAUUAUAAAAUUUUUUUGGUCCAAUCUUUGGGGAACCCGUUGGACUCAGACGAGCUGCACAGGAAGAAGACAAUCACCGGCUGUGUAUUUGGAGGCUUAUAUCAAGUAAGGGAAAUUGCUACUGCAAGGAAGCUUGUAUUGGAACAAUUCACUGGGAUUGAAAACAAUCAAGUUGAGCUUAGCUCAGUAUAGCACAAAAGCACAUUGAAAAAUUCUCUGUAAAAGAAGUCUGGAAUAUUCAGGAUCAGGAUGGGUUUAAGUCAUGGGCCCUGGCGUGGAGCCUUCUAUUGACUGUGGGUGUCUUAGGCUGGGUUCUUUAGAGAAGCAAAACCAGUAAAGCAUAUAUAUACAUGCACACAGAGAUUUAUACCAAGGAAAUGCUCACACAGUUGUACAGGCCAGAAUGUCCCAACUCCAUGAGUUGGGAUAGAGACGUUUAUCCUGAUUCAUGUAGCUGCAGGGGCUGGCGAACCCAAGAUUGGCAGGUCAGAGAGCAGGGCUCUUGCUCACAGACUGCAAAGAUGGACAAAUCCCAAGAUCAGCGGGCAAGACCACAGGUAAGCUGCUAGCUCAAGUCCCAAGAACUGGAAGUCAGAAGAACAGGAGCCAGCUGCAGGAUCCAGAGGAAGCAAAAGUCCAAGAGCCUUGCCAGAAUGCCCACUUAUAUUCGGUGCAGGCCACAUGCCCAAGGAGACUCCCUUUCAGCUGACUGGCUACUCACAACAGAUCCCAUCACGGAGGUGAUCACAUUAUAUCACAUCUCAUCACAGAAGUCAUCACAACAUCAUAUAGCUGCCAAACCACUGAGAAUCAUGGCCCAGCCAAGUUGACAUACAACCUUAACCAUCACAGUGGGGAUAUGGCCUCUUCUUGAUGAAUUUCUGAAGGAAUGAAUAAGUAAAGAAACAUGACACAAUAACUGAGAAUUAGUAUGUGUAUAGCACACUUACAUUAGAGUGGGGGAUGUAGAGACUUUGUUCUCCACUGUGUCCUCGAAUCUUAGAACAGUGUUUGACACAUAGUGGGUACUUACAAAUAUUUGUGGAUGGAAAUAAAUUAAUACAUGUAAAGUAAUGUCAGAUGGUGAUAAAUGCUCUGGAGAGAGUACAGCAGGGUAGGAAGAGAAUGUGACAGGAAUGUAACUCCAGUUAGGGUCAUCAGGAAUGGCUUUUUUUUUGCAGGUGACAUUUGAGCAGAGACCAGAAUGCAGUGAUGGAGAGAAUCAUACAAAUAGCUGGAGGAAUAGCUUUUCAGGCAAAGGGAAAAGCAAGUGCAAAAGUCCAGAGAUUCUUGUAGCAGAAACAGCUACCAGCCCACCGUUCCAUCAAGGUGUGGACAUAUGACCUGCAGACCAUGAAAUGUGAGUGUUGCGUAUCACUUCCUGUGAUGGGGAUUUUAGAAGAGGAUGUGCCUUCUCUGCCAUCUCUUUCCCUUCCACUGUCUGGGAAGAGAAGACAGAGAGACCCUAGAAGAUGGUGGAGCCACAUGGAGGAAAGCUAUCAGUCACUCAGUGACUACAAGGUACUGUUCUUUCAUCAGAAUGUCAAGAGUGGGCAGCAAAAAGGAAUGAUAUUGAGUUGUGGAGCUUUCCAAAGUGGAAGUCAAUACUGCAAGGCCUUCUAAGGUGAUGAGGCCCAGGGUAUGCAGUGCUCUGAACGUUGCUCUCCCUGUGACCUUGGGCAAACCACACAAAGAUGGUAAGUAGCACAUGCCUGCCCUUUGGAAGCAGGGUGGUGUAGUGGGAAGAAUCCAGGCUUCACCAGACCUCAGUUGGGUCUCCUGCCCUGCCAUUUAUUUUAAGGGUGACCUUAGAUAGACGUCUUAGUUAUCUAGUGCUACUCCAACAGAAAUACCACAAGUGGGUGGUUUUAACAAACAUAAAUUUAUUUUCUCACAUUUUUGGAAGCUAGAAUUCCAAAUUCAGAGCACCAGCUCUAGGGGAAAGCUUUCUCUCUCUGUCAGCGCUGGAGGAAAGUCCUUGUCUCUUCAGGUCCUGCUUCCUGGUUCCUUGGAGAUCUCCAUGUGGCUUGGCAUCUAUCUUACCCCAUCUCUGCCUCUAGCUUGUGUUUAAUCUCUUUUGUAUCUCUAAAGAUAUUGACUCAAGAUACACCCUACACUAAUCCUGCCCCAUUAACAUAACAAAGUCAACCCAUUCCCAAAUUUGCAUUAUAACCACAGGCAUAGAGGUUAAGAUUGACAACACAUAUUUUGGAGGGACACAAUUCAGUCCAUAACAGUAAGUUACUUAACCUCAUCCAUAAAUGGGGCAAUACUAAUAAAAAUCCUUCUACUAGGGCUCUUGUGAGGACUAAAUGAGAUGGAUGUAUAUAAAUUAUUCACCACAUUUUCAAGAAACAGUAACUAGUAUUAUUUUUGGUAGGCUGAUAUUUUGUGGCAUUAAUGUUUCAAAUGUGACCAUAUCUUUACUUUUAUUUCUGGGAGAAAUAAUUUGUGUACAUUUAUUUACAGAGUUAAGAAGAAAUAUCUCUCCUCUCCCUUAUGAAUCAGAUACAAGCCCCUUAAUGCAUUCAUUCAUUCUAGUGAGAGGUUUCAUUGCUAGAUGAAGUACAGUAUAGUGGUCAGAGCAGGGACUCUGGCACUAGACUCCAGGGUUCACAACCUGCUGUGUGACCUUGAGCAAGGUGCUUAACUUCUCUGGGUCAAAAUCCAUUGUCUGCAGUUCCCAAAUUUAAAAACCAAAAGUUUUUUAUACAAGGUUAUUUAUAGAUUUAUCCUAAAUAAAAAAGAUUUAUCCUACUUAGUGUAAAUCUUCCUGUUUUGGGUAUAGAAAUGUUAAUGUGCUAGAGUACAGAGUCCCCAGACCCUGAAGAGGGGUUGUGUAAUAUAUAUUCACCAGGUGCUCCUUGGAAACCCUAUGGAACAGUUCUACUCUGUCCUAUAGGGUUGCUCUGAGUCAGAAUCAACUCAAAGGCAAUGGCUUUGGUUUUGGUAUGGAACCCUGUUUACCCUACUGGAUCCAAGGGAUUUGGGUAAGGGAUUGUGGAGCUCUAAUAUACCUUCAUAGGGCUGUUGUAAGGCUUAAAAACAAAGCAAAAGAUGUUGUUGUUGAAUUGAUUCCAACUCAUGGCAAUACCAUACAUUGUGAGGCUUACAUGAACUUAAUACAAUCCUAGGAACAAUCUUUUAGGGCAGAAAAUAGUACCCGAUUUUACAGAUGAGGAAAAUAAGGCACCAAAAACCAAACCAAACCAAACCCAGUGCUGUCAAGUUGAUUCUGACGCAUAGCAACCCUAUAGGACACAGUAGAAUUGCCCCAUAGAGUUUCCAAGGAGUGCCUGGUGGAUCCAAACUGCCAACCCUUUGGUUAACAGCCAUAGCACUUAACCACUAUGCCUCCAGAGUUUCCAAAUAAGGCACAGAGAAGUUAAGUAGCCACAUAACUCAUAUGUGAUAGAGCUGGAAUUCAAAUACAGCAUUUCUGAUUCCAGAGCCCGUAUAUUCUGUUGAAACAGAUUAAUUUAAUUCCCAGGGCCAUGUACAUGCUCUGACAGAGCCAACUUCAAUUAAGAAUCCACCCUGAGAGGAAGACUGACACUUAAGGAAAUACCAUCAGCAGGGGCUGACUUCUCCGGACAUCUGCACAGGCAGACCAGCUGUAGGGAAGGAGAAGUGGGUGCUGGUGAGGCUUCCUAGGUCCCCUCCAUGGACUGCCAACCACAUGGUUUGAUGGGAGAGCCAGGACUGCACACCAUUCAGUUGCCCUCUGUGCCCAUUCCUCUGACUGCCACCCUGUCUCAGCUUGGGUUCCUAUAGAAGCAGAUCCUGAGAAAAGGAUUUGAGUACAAGUAGUUGAUGUGUUAGGUGCAAGAAACACCAUUAGCGAGUGAAGACGUGAUACAGGGGAGGGGAGGCAGCCAAUAAUGGCCGUGUUAUGAUGCCAGCUUCCACAACGAGUGAUCACAAUGUCACAGGGAAACUUGGGGUCAUGGUGUAAACACUUGUUUCAGAAUUACCCCACCCAAGGGAUGAGGGAACUGAGGUAUUUAUACUCCAUCUCUGGAGAGGCACUGGUUGAAGGCUACUCCCAGAAAUGUCCUUGGCAGGCGAUCAGAAGCAGCAUGGCCUUCUGCAUUCUGUAAAAAGCCUUCAGGCACAGAGAUGCAGAUAAUGGCACUAGGGACCAUAUUGAAAUUUAAGGUCCAAUGGAGAUGAGUGAAGCAUUGACAGUGUCUGAUACACAUCCUUUAGCACAGUUCUGUGUAGUAGUAGGAACAACCUUACUUGUGAAAAAAACCCAAGGUGGAUGCUACCUCACUCACCGUGGAUUUGAUGUCCACUAACAGACCCAACUACCUCCCCCCGCCCCAAAAUCCCCACCACACAGCCAGCCAUGGCUCCUGGAAUGUGUGCUGUAAGUUACCAGUUUUUAGAGGCCAGCAGUAAAAUUUCAGUACGUUACCCAGAAGAAGUAACGAACGAACUAUGACCUUUCCUUUCCUAGCUGAGAUACUUGCCUUUAGGGAAUGGGACUAAGAACAAAGAUAUUUUAAUGGAGGAAAGAUCAAGAAAGUUCUGGAUGGUGGGGUCAGGGAUGAGGAAAGGAUAAUAAGGAGUGGUUGCCACCAGUGAAGACCCUGGGUACUCUGGGGUGCUGUCUGCAGAGUGGGGGGUGGCCACUGAAGGCGGUGGCCUCUGAAGAAAGUGGCACCAAAUGGGAGCCCAAAGUGUCCAUAGAGAUAGAAGGAGCUCAAAUGGGCAUUGUUUUGCUUCACACUUUCAUCUAGAUCUGAGCCUAGAAAGGAAGACUUCUUGGCCACAUGUAGCUCUUAAUUUGUGAGCUUUUAGAAGACAACGACCAUGUGUCGUCUGGUCUUCGUAUCCCCAGAACUCAGCACAGUGGCCAGUGACUCAUUUUUCUGAACAGAACUGCCGUGAAUUUGGUGCUAUGCUCUAGUUUCACCUACCAGUUCCUUCCUGACAUUUCUAUUAGCAACCCUACAUUUAAACAAAUGAGCUCUCUGUGUCUCCAUUUCUCCUUCUAUAAAAAGGAAAAGCAACACCACCAACAACAACUCACUUACCGGCUGUGAGACCUUGGACAAUUUAUUCAAUCCUUGGUUUCUUCAGCAAUAAAAUGUGGAGAAUGCUGCUGAAUGUCCCAAGCUUCUAGUGAGGUUUCAGCGAGGUAGCUCAUGUAAAGGGCUUGCUUGGUACAGUACCUGGCACAAGGAGAUUCAUUAAGUGUAGCUAUUGCCAUUAUUAGUGCUUCUAAUACAAUACCCACCCUUCUAGGAGAGGGAGAGAAAUCUGGGAAUUCUCAUACCGAACAGGCUGCAAAUCCGUUUUAAGCUUCUGAUGAGAAAUUGAGGGCAUCAGAAAAGAAAGCAAACCGCAAUUCCCUGAAAUAUUCCAAUUCUAUUUCUGCAAAUAAGUCAUAAUGAUUUGUGUCAAAUAAUAUGACUGCAUCUUUCCUCUAAGGAACCUAAUGGGCUUCUGCCAACUACUUAUCCAGCAGGCAAUGCUCACAUCCCUCAGGAUAAACUAAGGGAGUGUUCUAGAUGGCCACAUGCCGGAGGCCAGAGCUGUAGGCAGAGGGGCACUAAUAAAAUAUGAUAAUUUACUUUUUUUAUCCUCUCUGUAGUUUAGACUGUACAGUCUGGAAGCAGGCCAGCAUGGUCAAUUUUAGCAAUUGCAGGGUUGAGCUUACAGUACAAAGUACAAGACAGCUUUUACUUCAAAUAGAAGUCAGUCUUGGGUAAUGGUUGUUCCCUCCCUUUUGAAAGUCCAGCUAACUCUCAAGGGCAGGCACCUCCCAAGAUUCCAUUCUUUCACCAAAAAUCUGAGGUUCUGGUUUCAUAAUGUUGUUUACACUCCUCAGGACAUGCCCAUCAGGUCUCUUCAUGUGGACUUCUGGGCUGUAGACUUCCUACGGACAGAUGAAGGGUAAGGGAGAAGAGGCCUCUCAAGAAAUUGCAAUUGUUUUUAUCUUUAUUUUCAACCUAAAUGACUGCACUAAAAUCUAUUUGAGAAAACAGAACCAUCUGGCAUCAUUGGUCAGAGCCAUAAAUGGUGUAGAAAGGGGAAAAAUAUGCUGAAUUCUGAUAAAUGGAAAGGGGGUUACAUAGGCUUAAUUGAAGCCAUGUGAAAGGGGUUCUUUUGUCAUUUUUUUUCCCAAAUUAAAAAAAAAAAAAAUCAAUGCUGUCCAACUGUCCCCAGAGACUACACACAAGGCACAGUUGAAAGUUCUAUUGUCCUUUCAUGCCUCCCCACUGAUCCUGGCUUCAUAGGGUAGGGCGUUGUGGCCUAUAGGACCCCUUGCCCUUUGUUCCUGUCAUUGAUGGAGGAAGUGCUUAAAUGAGAAUCAUUAAGCCCACUUCUUUUUCUGUUUCCCAGAUGCUAAAUGUUUAUUUGUUGAUAUAGUCAUUAAAGGCAAACAUUUGCUCAACACCCACCAUGUAUCAGACCCUCUUUAAGGCACUGAGCCUGCUAAGGCAAAUGAGACACAACAACUGUCUCAAAGAGCUCCAGUUGAUUAGGGAACCAGAGAAAUAGUUACUGACACAUGGCCACAGAGGAGGAUAGAGAAUGGAGAAAAGCUUUGAAGAGAGUACCAAGGAACAUGGAGGUGACUUUCUAGGAGGGAAGAAAAAGAGAGGAGCACUAGUGGGAGGAAAAAUGUAAUGGGAAAAAAAGAAAUAGCCAGCAGGUUGUUUUUAAGAGAAUCCGUCUCUUUGAUGUAUGGCUGAAAGCAGCUGGUGGUGUUGGUGUGGACUGCAGACAACUUUAGCUUGGGCAUCAGGAAAUAGCCUCAGCAGGUGAAAGCCCGGUAGAAGAACCUUUCCUGUCUUCGGCUGCACUGUGUAAUUAUUUGGCACAAGAAAGGAAGAGAGAAGAAAAAGAAGGAGAAGAAGAGGAGGAGGAGAAAGACAAGGAGAGAAGGAAGGGAAGAAGGAAGGAAGGAAAGAAAGGGGGCAGUUACCUUACGUGCUUAAGAAAAUAUUACAUAUGAAUCCAAUUAUCUCCAAUUCCUAAUCCUAACCCUUGCACAGACCCAGGAGUUGAAGGAUUGGUCCACCACUGUUUCUAUUUAGCUUUCAUAAGAUCCAAACUAACAAACACCAAAUUCAUUGAUCCCCUCUUCCUCAGGCAAGUAAAGAAUGGACUGAUCUUGCAAGAGACCCAUGAGAAAUACACUGAUUUAGGAAAAAUGAAGACAACAUCAUGACUUUUAUUGCACAGGGUGAUAUUAAAUCAAGUCAAAUUAAAUAUACAUUUUAUCUGGUUUGAACUUUAUAUUUAAUUAACAUAGCUUUGAUUUUGUUAUGUCUGUUACAAACAUGUCAUGAAAUGCUAUUCAGAUUGUGUCAUUCAAAAAGGGUUUCCAAAAAACCAUCUGUAUUAGCUUCCUAGGAUUGCAAUAACAAAUUACCACGCUCUGUGUGGCUUAAAACAAUGGAAAGGUAUUGUCUCACAGUUCUGAUAAAAAAUUGACUCUUUACAAGAAGGAAGCCCAUGGGAAAGAAAGAAGGGAGGUAACCCAAUCAAAUCUUCAUGUAAACAUGCUGAUGACAGACCCCCAGGUAAACACACUAAUGGUAUUUGCUAAUGCAUGGUCAUUAUCUAUGAAAUACUUCUAGAAAGAUGUGCCUGGUCUGCUUCUGGUUGUUCAUUUGUAACAAAUCUGGAAUCUAUGAAUUUACUGGGAAUGAAUCCUUGGAAAAACUCAAUGAAAGGCACGGAGCCCAAACCACUGGGGAAAGCAAGACAAAGCAGUGGCACCUACCCUGAGCACCACAGAGCACCUGGCCACGGAAUGAGGAGCCAGCAGGAGAACCGUGGACAGGGCAGCCCCUACCUGCCCUGGCCACCUUUAACAGGUAAUUAGAGUAGCGGAGCCUAAGCUUGAUCUUGUUUUAAGGGCUGGGACUUAGCUCUAGUUCUCACUGGGACAAAGAUUCUGAGACUGAAACAGUUUGAAACUGAAGGAAUGUUAGUGCGUGAGGCCAUCCAUACACUAGAGUUCCGGCACAGGGUCCUUCCUGGGAAGCAAUAUAAGUCGUAUCUGUUAUGGAUUAAACCAUGUCUCCCCAAAGAUAUAUUAAAGUCCUCACCCCUGGUGACCUUGUUUGGAAAUAGGUCUUUGAAGAUGUUAUCAGUUAACAUGAGGUCAUACUAUGGUAGGGUGAUCCUAAUCCAAUGCGACUGGUCCUUAUAAAAGAGGAGAAGUAGCACAGAGGACCGGCCUGUGGAGAUGCAUCUACAACCCAAGAAACACCUAGGGCUACCAGAAGGUGGGAGAGACAGGAAGGAUCUUUCCUAGGACCUUGAGCAUAGCUUGGCCAACACACUGAUUUGGACUCUUAGCUCUCAGAGUUUUGAGACAAUAUAUUUUUGUUAGAAGCCACCCAGUUUGUGGUAUUUUGUUAUGGCAACCCUAGGAAACUAAUACAGGAUCUAACACUGGUUUUUAAUGGUGGGAAUGACAUACAUACUCAUUAACCCUAGCCUGUAAGUUCAUUGAGUAAAGACUAUUGGUCUGACUGGUGCCCUGCUCAGACUCCUGUACCUAUGCUGUGCGUGGCAUGUAUUUAAAUAUUUGUUGAAUGAAAUGAAUAAGGCAGUGUAGAAGAUGGAUAAGAGUGGAAGGAGAUUACUGCCAGACAGAACAGUUAAGAGACUAUUAGAACAAUCUAGAUGAGCAACCACAAUAGGAGAGAAAGGGCCAAAUUUUAGAUCAACGCUCUCUAACACAGCUUUCAGCAAUGAUGGAAAUGUUCCAUUCUGCACUCUCCAUUACAGUAGCUAUUAGCCACGUGAGGCUCUUGAGUACUUGAAAUGUGGUUAGUAAGACUGAGGAACAACAUAAAGAAAACAAAAAUCCUCACAACUGGACCAAUAAGCAACAUCAUGAUAAAUGGAGAAAAGAUUGAAGUUGUCAAGGAUUUCACUUUACUUAGAUCCACAAUCAACACCCAUGGAAGCAGCAGUCAAAAAAAUUGGAAUUUAUUUAAUUUCAUUUAGCCACAUGUGGCUAGUGACUACCAUAUUGAAUAGAGCAGCUCUAGAGUUUUCUGUACCAGAAUCAAAAGAACUUGUGACAAAUUGUAUUCAUUCAUUCAUUCAAUAAAAAAUAUUUAUUGAUGGUUUACUAUGUCCUGCAGGGUAAAACAAAGGCCAGGUUUGGAAUGUGUGUGUCAUUUUGGCAAUGUAUAUGUCAUGUCAACAUAUUUGGACUUCGUAAGUCACUUUGGUAAAGAGGCUCCAAAGCUGAUUUUUAAGCAUGAAUAGUGCAGACAACAACCUUGUCCAAACCGUACAUUCUCGAGGGAGAUAUUUAAAAAAAAAAAAAGUUCCACAAAGAAAAAAAAUCUGGGUGAUACUAGAAAGCACAGAAGAGGGUGGACAAGCUGUUUUAGCAGGAUUGCUCAGGGAAAUCCACUCUGAGAGGUGACAAGUUGAGAGUUGGAUGAUGAGAAAAUAGGGAUUAAGAAAAACAAAAACAAACAAGAACCCCAAACCAGAGCUACAAUAAUCAUUGAUGAAGGAAAGCAAUAAAAUUCAGUGUGAAGACACUUAGAACAAGGAGGGACUUCUCAGUCCUCAAGUCUAGCGUACUCUCUGUCUCCAGAAAGGCAACAGAGAAGUAAAGAUACUUACCUAAGGCCACACAACUCAUUAAUAACGUAAGUGGUAACAGACUCUCAAUCUUCUGACUUCCAGCUCCCCUCCCUACUGGUUAGGUUUCUCAGCAACCUGAAUCUUCUUUCUUUUGAUAGUAAAAUGAGUUAUUGUGAGAAAUGGAAAAUAAUGCAUAAUCAAGAUGUUUAAAAAAAAUGGUAGCUAUUUUUAUUAUUGUAUUUUUUUUAACUCUUCUUGUAGUAUGCCUUUUGUUUAUAUUCAUAAAGUCGUUAACAAGGGUGUUAUUUUAGUAACAUUAAAAACAUAACUGGGGCAAUUUUCUCCUUUUCUUUAACUGUUGUUGCCUGAGGGGAAUCUCAGCAUUGAGCCCUUGCAAUCAACAUCAGGUACCACCUGCCAUUUGCCUGGAGGCAGCUCCCAGAAGUACAGGUGCUGUGAGGGAAGACAUAGUCUCCAUUCUGCGGGCCUGGUGAACUCCAUCUUAAUAAGUGGUGGCAAGUAUUAUGUCCUCCUGCUUCUGAAGAGAGAAAAAUGCAGCUGUGGUUUUUUCCCCAGCAGACACAGCUCUCAUUAAGCUCUUUCCUGAAAGCUGCUGUAGACAGGGUCUGAAGAGAAGAUGAAGGCUUUAACAGGACGUGCAAGUUGAAAUGAUGAAAAGGGUACACUAAAAGUAUAUGGCACAGGGAAGGAUUUUCUACAUGCAAAUUGAGAAUUAGGUCUUCAUUCAUUUGGUUAGUCACCAUUUUAUACCUUACUCCCUGCGCCACCACAUCUCUGCCCUUUGAACUUGUAUUUUUGCAAAUAUUCAAAUGGGACAAAACAAUAUGAAGCUCCUGGCUUCCGGAGUAGCAGUCAGUGUUGACUAUACAUGUUAGUUCUCCUUAACUUCUCUGGGCCAUUUGACUUUUCUGACCACGUCUUUGGGGCUCAACUCAGAGCCUUGGACUCCCAGCCCAUACUCUUUCUAUUCCUUGUGUUGCAUCUGAGUUUGGUGAUUAUUGAGCCUCUUAAGCAAUUGUCAUUAAUAGGUUAUUUGAUGACUAUAGUAUGACUAUUGAGGGCAGCGGUGGUUCAGUGGCAGAAUUCUCAUCUUCCAUACAGGAGAUUCCCCCACGCGUCUGUCAGUUUGUCAUACGUGGGGGCUUGAGUGUUGCUGUGUUGCUGGACGCUUUGCCACCGGUAUUCAAAUACCAGCAGGGUCACCCAUGGCAGACAGGCUUCAGCUGAGCUUCCAGCCUCAAACAGAUUAGGAAGAAGGGCCCGGUGGUGUUUACCUGUGUUUUAUUGACUAUGCAAAGGCAUUCGACUGUGUGGAUGAUAAAUUAUGGAUAACAUUGUGAUGAAUGGGAAUUCCAAACACUUAUUGAACAGAACAAGGGGAUACUGUGUGGUUUAAGGUCAGGGAAGGUGUGUGUCAGGGUCGUAUCCUUUCACCAUACUUAGUCAAUCUGUAUGAUGAACAAAUAAUCUGAGAAGCUGGACUAUAUGAAGAAGAAUGGCGCAUCAGGAUUGGAGGAAGACUCAUUAAUAACCUGUGUUAUGCAGAUGGCACAACCUUGCUUGCUAAAAGUGACAAGGACUUGAAGUACUUACUGAUGAAAAUCAAAGACCAUGGCCUUCAGUAUGGAUUACAACUCAAAGAAAACAAAAAUCCUCACAACUGGACCAAUAAGCAACAUCAUGAUAAAUGGAGAAAAGAUUGAAGUUGUCAAGGAUUUCACUUUACUUAGAUCCACAAUCAACACCCAUGGAAGCAGCAGUCAAAAAAAUUGGAAGAUGCAUUGCACUGGGCAAAUCUGCUGCUAAAGACCUCUUUAAAGUGUUGAAAAGCAAAGAUGUCACGUUGAGGAGUAAGGUGCGCUUGACCCAAGCCAUGGUGUUUCCAAUUGCCUCAUAUGCUUGCAAAAGCUGGGCAAUGAAUAAGGAAGACAGAAGAAUUGACACCUUUAAAUUGUGGUGUUGGUGAAAAAUAUUGAAUAUACCAUGGACUGCCAAAAGAACGAAGAAAUCUGCCUUGGAAGUAGUACAACCAGAAGGCUCCUUAGAAGCAAGGAUGGUGAGACUGCGUCUCACAUACUUUGGACAUAUUAUCAGGAGGAACCACAACCUGGAGAAGGACAUUAUGCUUGGUAGAGGGCUUGCAAAAAUGAGUAAGACCUUGACGAGAUGGACUGACACAGUGGCUGCCAAAAUGGGCUCAAGCAUAACAACCACUGUGAGGAUGGCACAGGACCAGGCAGUGUUUCGUUCUGUUGUACACAGGGUCACUGUGAGUCAGGAUCGACUAGGCAGCACCUAAUAACAACAACAAUGCAGGAGAUCCAGGUUCGAUUCCUGGCCAAUACACCUCACUUAAUCAUCUAGUGCUGCUGCUAUAACAGAAAUACAACAAAUGAAUGGCUUUAACAAACAGAAAUUUAUUAUUUCACAGUCUAGUAGGCUAGAAGUCCAAAUUCAGGGUGUUAGCUCCAGGGGAAGGCCUUCUCCCUCUGUCGUCUCUGGAGAAGGGUCCUUGUCAUCAAUCUUCCCUAGGACUAGGAGAUUCUCAGCACAGGGACCCCAGGUCCAAAGAAUGCGCUGUGCUCCUGAUGUGUCUUUCUUGGUGGUAUGAGGUCCCCAACUCUCUGCUUCCUUCCCUUUCCUUUUAUCUCUUGUAAGAUAAGAGGUGUUGCAGGCCACACCCCAGGGAAGCUCCCUUUACAUUGGAUCAGGGAUGUGACCUGGGUAAGGGUAUGGAAUCCCACCCUAAUCCCCUUUAACAUAACCCAAUCUGCCUCAUUAACCACAGGCAGAGAUUAGGGUUUACAACACAUAGGAAAGUUACAUCAUUCACAAAAUGCAGGACAACCACAUAAUACUGAGAACCAUGGCCUAACCAAGUCGACAUGUAUUUUGGGGGGACAGAAUUCAAUCCAUAACACACCUCAUGGGCAGCCACCACCCAUCUGUCAGUGGAGGCUUGCAUGUUGCUAAGAUGCUGAACAGUUUUCAGAGGAGCUUCCAGACUAAGACAGACCAGGAAGAAAGGCCUGGCAAUUUAUUUCUGAAAAUCAGUUAAUGAAAACCUUAUGGAUCAUAAUGGUCCAAUCCGCAGACUGGGCAGCAUUUUGUUCCAUUGUGCAUGGGGUUGCCAUGACUUUGGGGCCAACUUGAUGGCAACUAAUAACAAUACAGCAUUGUAUGACUGACAGAGUAAUUUUGAAAAUGAGGCAUUGAACAACUGCAGUUGCAUGUGGAAGAGUGACCUAAGAGCCAUGGUCUGCGGCUCACUCCCCACUACCUCAUCACUCCAACCCUAUCUAGCCACAGACAGGGUCAGGGUCCCACCCCCAACUGUAAAGCCAUCACCUCUCCCAUCGUUCCUGAGCAGCAGAAGACCCAUCACAAUAAUACCUCUGCUCUUUUAGCCCCCCAAGUACUCACCGAUGUACACUGCAAUAGGAACAGUGGGUAUGUGUAGCCACAGAGGCAGAGGAGUCCAUGUCCUUGACCUGAAUCUAGCAGAUCUGAAUUCCAGACCUCACUCUACCAUGUAAUUCACUGUGUGAGCUUGGACAUGUAACUUCACUUCCCUGAAGUUCCAUUUCCUCAAAUGUGAACCUGGAAUAAUACCUGUCUCACAGGAUUGUUGUAAGGAUCAAAUGACUUACUAUUGUAUAUGAAAAUUCUUUGAAAAAUAGAAAGCAGUACUCAAAUGACCAUAAAGUAUUAUUCAUCAGUCUAUACUUCAUCAUAUUUUUGUGGAAAAAAUUAAUCCCAAAGAGUAUUGUAUUUAUAUAAUUUCAUUCAUUCAUUUGUUCAUUCAUCCAUCCAUACACUCAACAAAGCUUUAUUGAACAACCAGUCUGGGUCAGGUGCUUGUGCUUGGUGCUGGUAAACAAUGGUGAACAACCAAGAUACUAGUCAUAUUCUCAGGAGCUUACACUGUAUCUGGGGAAAGGGGACACAGUAAACCAUAAUCCUGCAAACACAGUUAUAAUUACAAACUGUGCUAAAGAAGGAAAAAGUGCAGGCUGCCACAAGUGAAGAGAGCGAUGGAACCACAUGAAUAUGAGGACUUAAUCAAGUUGGCUGACUUGGAGCAAAGACCUCCCAAGCAACAGGAAGAACAUAGGAGAAGGCUCAAGACAGGAGAGCAAAUGGCAAAUUCAAGGAUCUGGAAGGCCAGUAUGGCCAGAACAGAAGAAGGAAGAGGGACCAUGUUGCCAAGUGUGGGCAGGCAAAGGGAGAGUCCCAGGCAACCCCUAGGUUCCUGUUAGGAGAGAGCUGGGAAGUUUGAUGCUAAUGGAGUAAGUAUGAAAUAGAAAUCAUAAGACUGGGAGAAUGAACUUAGUAGAUAAUGUUUUAAGGUGGUUGUGUAGCCCAUUUAAGUUGACACAGGAUAAAUUCAUAGAUUUUAAACUCUCAGACUGGGCGAUUUUUGUAGCAGUGUUCAGCAUUUUGAUGCAGGCAUAUUAAUUCAUUUUGAUAUGGUUAGUUGUGAUUUUCCACUUUGCAUUGUUUCACAAAAACAUUUCUAAGUAUUUCUAGUCCGUAUACUUGUUAUUUUUAAGAUCUGUGUAAUGUUUCAUUAUGGUUUCCAUCAUGUAUUUUUGGCCCUUCCACCCACUGGAAGGCUUUUUAGUUCUUUCUACUUUUUGUUUUUUUCUUUUGGUGCUGAAAAUAUCUUUUGAAAUAGUUCUGUUUUGUUUUCAUAUGGGUGAUUUCCUUAGGUUGCAUUCCCCUUGUGGGUCAUUUCUCCACAUGACAGAUGGACACGCUGAAGCUCACAGUCCUCUGUUUUGUCAUGCUUCAUUUGCCCCGCCUGGAUGUGAGCAAAUUCCCCUGGUACCAGGCUGCUACAGGGGACUUGGAUGGCGAGGAGUAUUGGCAGGAAGGAAGAGGGCCAUCCACAUUAGAAGUACAGAGAAUGCAGGUUAUUCUGUUCACGUGUUUUAUCCUUAAGAUGUUGCCUCCAUCUGUGAUUUGUUUGGCACUCAGAACCUCCAUGGCAGUUAGCCUGACGGGUAGUUUAUUUUCCUCUCUCACUUGUCCUCUCCCUCAAGGGCCUAUUAAGCUCCUCAUAAGUGUUGUCCAUAGAACAAAAAAGUGUAAGGUAGGGGCAAUGAGUGUAACUGUUAGCAGGAGGUGAUUGUGAGAAGAGGCAUAAAAUCUCUGACUAUAAUUACCUGAAGGUUAUAAUUAAAUCACCUAAGGCAAAUGGCUGUCUUGGAGCCAGCAUUUUUAUUCAUUACUUUAUUUAAUGUAUUCAUUCUGCAUUCCUAGACAAUGUUUAGAAAUUAUUCAGGGGCCAAGUCACCAAGCCAAGCAGGUAUCAGGGAAAUUCACCCAACAAGCAUCUUUUUCUUGCCUGAGCAUAGUUCACCUAUUCAUCUGAUCCAGUGUAUUUCUUAAACAUUUGUUAUUGCUGACACUGGUCAAAAAGUUAAGGGAACCAAACAGAGUAAGUGAACUCGAUUUGGGAUAAGGGUAAGGUUUAAGGUCAGUUCUUUGAAAAAAAGUCUAUUCCUUGUGUCAAACAUACUAUAAUAAAAGCUUAGUCUAAUAUUCUUGGUGAUUGGGGGACAAGCUCUAAAAGGUUUCCUAUAUUAUCAAAGCAAAAGACAAAGAUGGAACAUUAUAAUGAUUUUAUUCUCUUACCCAAAGAGGAUAUAUAGGCAAGGAGACAAGGAGCCCUAGUGGCACAAAUGGUUGAGUGCUCAACUGCUAACCGAAAGGUUGGUGGUUCAAACCCACAUGCCGGCUCUGUGGGAGAAAGACCUGGCCAUCUGUUCCUGUAAAGACAACAGCCUAGAAAACCCUAUAGGACAAUUCACAUGGGGUGACUAUGAGUUGAAAUCAACUUGAUGGUACCUAACAACAGCAAGGAGAAGACAGGCUCUUGCCAGAAUCUUAGCCAUUUUGAUCGGAAUCACCAUCAGUAUCGGUGAUGUCUAUAGUUACUAAUAGUAAUGAUAGUAACAUGUAACAGCUAUGGUGUGGUAACUGUGUGCACAUAUAGUGCUUUGUAUUAUAUCCUUACAUCAUGAAGUGGAUUUCCUCAAGGUCAUGUAGCUAUUGAGUAAUGGGCUCCAGGUUCACAGCCCAGUUGCAAGACCAGUGCUACUAACCUCUAUCCUGGGAAUACGAUGACUGGAAACAGCAUGGGAUAUAAGGACAGGCCCAGACCCAAAUCUCCAAGCAUCAAGAACCACAAGUCCUGCUAGCCUCUAAUCUGGUAAAAAAAAAAAAAAAUCUGGUAGGUGACAUUAAGUAAGUCACAUGAACUCCUUGAGAAGCAACACCUGUUUUUCCUAGUACCAGUUGUGAGGGCGUGCUAGAUGAUAGGUGUGACAGUACUUUGAUAACCAAACAUAAAGUCCUACAGAAAUGUAAGAACUUAUGGUUUUGUACUCCAUUGCUAUGAUGAUGUGGGAAGAGUCUCAUACUUAAAAUAUGAGACAUGCAAUAGCUGCUCUAGUGUGAGGAUGCUAAAAUAACAGCAACAAAAACAGUUGCCCUUGAGUCAGUUCUGACUGAUGGUGACCCCAUGUAUAUCAGAGUAGAACUGUGCUCCUUAGAGUUUCAAUGGCUGAUUUUUUGAAAGUAGAUCUCCAGGCCUUUCUUCCUAAGCAUCUCUGGGUGAUCUAAUCUUUUUGUUAGCUGCCAAGUACAUUAACCAUUUGCACUACCCAGAAUGCUAGAAGGGGUCAGAUUCAAAUGUUGCUUCCAGUGGAGCUGCAGUUCAAAAGAAAUCACAUGAUAUGCUGACAUGCCAAUGAAUCAGAUAAUUCAGUCAGGAGGCAGUAGGAAUGGUGUAUGUUGUGUGUGUGACUUCACUGAUGUGGUGACAGAUUAAUUCAAAGCAUCACUAAGCUGUAUAAACAGUUCUUCUUCUAGGGAAGCUGAUGGCUGUGGCAGGCUCCCUCCAGCAACUUGAGGUUGGAAAUUGAUCAUAACAAGUCAUGAGGUAGGUUUCAGAAACAAUACUGAAGGUUGGAGCAGGAAUCAGGUGCUUUUCAGGCUGAUCUUGUUGACAUCAGCCUCCCCCAGGCUCCAUCAUGCCUUGAGCAAUCAGUAUAUCUCAGGUAUUGGUCAAGGAUAUGGGUUUCUAGAGGAUGGAAUAAGUGUCAUAGCACUAGGACGUGGAGGCUAAGGCAGAAAUUUUAUUCAUGCCUCAUGUAAACCCAGUAGACUAGUGGUUCUAAAACUCAGGGAGAUUAAAAUCUCUUAGAAAAAUUGCUUAAAUGCUGAUUUCCAGGCUCCAUCUCCAGAAAUCAUUAUAGAAGUUCCUGGGUGGUGCAAAGGGUUAAGUGCUUGGCUAUUAACCAAAAGGUGGAGGUUCAAAUCCACCCAGAGAUGCCUCAAAAGAAAGGCCUGGCUGUCUGCUUCUGAAAGGUCACAGCCAUGAAAACCCUGUGGAGCACAGUUCUACUCUACAAUACAUGGGGUCACCAUCAGUCUAAAUUGACAGUAAUUGGAAAAAAGUGUGGCCCAAGAAUCUUCAUUCUAACAAACUCUUUAGCGAUUUUGAUGAAGGUAGGAAAAAAUAUGGUAGAUAAGAGAAGGAUUCUGGGAGAGAGCUCCCAUGGUAAAAAUUGAAAAGCUGAUGGGAACAAGACAGAGAUGCCUUUUACCAUCACUCCUAUUUAACAUUGUGCUGAAAGUCCUUGCUAGAGCAAUAAUGCAAGAAAAAGAAAUAAAGGGGAUCUAAAUUGGAAAUGAAGAAGUAAAACUGUCCCUAUUCACAGACGAUAUGAUUUUAUACAUAGAGAACCCCAAAGAUUCCACAAGAAAACUACUGGAACUAAUAGAAAGAUCAGCAGAGUAGCAGGAUAUAAGAUCAACAUAUAAAAAUCAGUUGGAUUCCUAUACACCAACAAAGAGAACUCCAAAAAGGAAAUCAAGAAAACAAUAACAUUUAUAAUACUCCUUAAAAAGAUAAAACACUUAGGAAUAAAUCUAACCAAGGACAUAGAAGACCAAUACAAAGAAAACUAUAAAACACUAUCGCGAGAAACCAAAAGAGGCCUACAUAAACGGAAAAACAUACCAUGCUGUCUUAGUCAUCUAGUGCCGCUAUAACAGAAAUACCACAAAUGGAUGCCUUUAACAAAGAGAAAUUUAUUUCUUCACAGUAAGUAGGCUAAAAGUCCAAAUUCAGGGCAUCAGCCCCAGGGGAAGCCUUUGUCUGUCUGUUGGACUUCUCAUCAGUCUUUCCCCUGACUAGGUGCUUCUCCAUGCAGGGACCCCAGGUCCAAAGGAGGCACUCUGCCCAUGGUGCUGCUUUCUUGGUGAUACGAGGUCCCCAACUCUCUGCUUACUUCCCUUUCCUUUUAUCUUACAAGAGAUAAAAGGUGGUGCAGGCCACACCCCAGAGAAACUCCCUUUGCAUUGGAUUAGGGAAGUGACCUGAGCAAGAGUGUUAUGUCCCACCUUAAUCCUCUUUAACCACAGGCAGAGAUUAUGAUUUAUAACACAUAGGAAAAUCACAAAAUGGAGGACAACCACACGAUACUGGGAAUAAUGGCCUAACCAAGUUGACACAUAUUUUGGGGGGACACAGUUCAAUCCAUGACACAUGCUCACAAAUGGACUCAACAUUGUGAAAAUGUCAAUCCUACUUAAACCUAUCUACAGAUGUAAUGGAAUCCCUGUUCAAAUACUAAUAGCAUUCUUUAAUGAGAUGGAAAAAUGAAUCAUGAGCUUUAUAUGGAAAGGAAAAAGGCCCCAAAUAAGCAAAACAUUAUUGAAGAAAAAUUAGCCUCACAUUAUCUGAUCUCAGAACCGAUUAUACAGCCACAGUAGUCAAAAAAGCCUAGCACUAGUACAAUGACAGACACAUAGACCAAUGGAACAGAAUUGAGAACCCAGAUGUAAAUUCAUCCACCUGUGAUCAGAUGACCUUUGACAAAGAACCAAAGCUCGUUAAAUGGGGAAAUAUAGUCUUUUUAACAAACGGUCUGGCAAAAAUGGACAUCCACCUAUAAAAGAAUGAAACAGGACCCAUACCUCACACUAUACAUAAAAACUAAUUCAAAGUGGGUCAAAGACCUAACUGUAAAACCUAAGAUGAUAAAGAUCAUGGAAGAAAAAAAAGGGGACAACACUAGGGGCCCUAACACAUGACAUAAUAUGAACCAUAACUCACAAUGCACAAACACCAGAAGAGAAACUAGAUAACUGGGAGCCCCUAAAAAUUAAACAUUUAGAAUCAUUAAAACACUUCAAUGAAAGACUAAAAACGGAACCUACAGAAAGGAAAAAAAUUUUUGACUACAACAUAUCUGACAAGGGUCUAAUCUCUAAAACCUAUAGAAUACUUCAACACCUCAACAACAAAGACAAAUAACCCAAUUAAAAAAUGAGCAAAGAAUAUAAACAGAGCCAUUAGAGAAAUGCAAAUUGAAACUACAAUGAGAUACCAUCUCACCCCAAUAUUACUGGCACUAAUAAAAAAAAAAACAGAAGAUAGCAAAUGUUGGAGAGGUUUUGGGGAGAUUGGAACUCUUAUGCACUACUGGUAGAAAUGUAAAAAGGUGCAACUCCUAUAGAAAAUGACAUGCCACCUCCUUAAAAAGCUAGAAAUAGAAAUAUCAUAUGAUCUUGAAAUCUCACUCCUAGGCAUAUAUCUUAGAAAAAUAAGACAUAUAAAUACCCAUGUUCACUGCAGCAUUGUUUAUAAUAGCAAAAAGUUGGAAACAACCUAGGUGCCCAUCAACAGAUGAAUGCAUAAACAAACUAUGAUACUACAUACACACAAUGGAAUACUAUGCAAAAAUAAAGAACAAUGAUGAAUCCGUGAAACAUCUCACAACAUGGAUGAAUCUGGGGGGCAUUUUGCUGAGUGAAGUAAGUCAAUCACAAAAAGACAAAUAUUGUAUGAGAUCACUAUUAUAAAAACUCAACAGAAAGUUUGCACACAGAAAAAAAAAUCCUUUGAGUAUUAUGAGGAUGGGGAGGGAAAAUCACUAACUAGAUGGAGAGAAGUGUUAACUUUGGUGAAGGGAAAGACAACACACAAUAUAGGGGAAGUCAGCACAACUUGACCAAGGCAAAGUCAUAGAUGCUUACUAGAGACAUCCAAACGUCUUGAGGGACUGAGUUUCUGGGGCUGAGGGCUGGGGACCAUGGUCUCAGAGGAUAUCUACAUCGAUUGGCAUAACAUAGUUUAUAAAGAAAAUGCUGUACAUCCUACUUUGGUGAGUAGCAUCUGGGUCUCAAAAGCUUGAGAGAGGACAUCUAAGAAAUCUACUGGUCCCAUUCACAUUUGGAGCAAAGGAGAAUGAAGAAAACCAAAGACAUGAGGAAAAUAUUAGUCCAAAGGACUAAUUAACCACAUGAACCACAGCCUCCACCAGCCUGAGCCCAGAACUAGAUAGUGCCCAGCUGCUGCCACCGACUGCUCUGACAGGGAUCACAAUAGAGAGUCCUGGACAGAGCAGGAGAAAAAUGUAGAACAAAAUUCGAAUUCACAAAAAAAGACCAGAUUUACUGGUCUGAUGGUGACUGGAGGACCCCCCAAGACUAUGGCCCUGGGACACCCUACUGACUUAGAACUGAAGCCACUCCUAAAGUCCACCUUUCAACCAAAGAUUAGACAGGUCUAUAAAACAAACAAUAACACACACGAAGAACGUGCUUCUUAGUUCAAUCACGUAUACAAGGCCAUAUGGGCAACACCUGCCCAAAAACAAAGAUGAGACGGCAGAUAGGGACAGGAAAACUGGAUGAGUGGACACUGAGAACCCGGGGUGGAAAGGGAAAGGGGGAAAAUGGUGGCAUAUGGCGGGAUUGCAACUAAUGUCACAAAACAAAUUGUGUUUAAAAUUUUUGAAUGAAAAACUAAUUUAUGCUGUACACUUCGCCUAGAACACAAUAAAAUUUAAAAGCUAACAUUGCCUGAGCACUUACUAUGAACCCGGCAUUCACCUAAGUGCUAUACAUAAAUUAACCCAUUGAAUCCUCACUGCAAUCCUAUGAGACAUACACUAAUAUGUCCUCAAUUUUAUAAAUGAAGUAAAGGAAGUACAUACUGUUUAAGAAGACACUGGGAGAAAGUGUCAAUAAAAUGUAAAAUUUCUAAUAUCUCAGAAGAACUUACUAAGAAAGAAAUGAAUUGCUUAAAUUUCACCCAGAGGAAUAGCUAUUAACUCCUAUCACUGUGGCAGUGUGGCCUGAUUUUAAGACUGAAAAUUCAGGGUUUGGUAACUUAGGGGAGGGUUGGAGCUUGGGGGAAAUUUCCCACCCUAGAAGCUGUUUCAUUGAGAUGAACCGAACCCGUUGCCAUUGAGUCGAUUCCCACUCAUAGCGACCCUAUAGAACAGAGUAGAACUGACCCAUAGAGAUUCCAAGGAGCACCUGGUGGAUUCGAACUGCAGACCUUUUUGGUUAGCAGCUGUAGUACUUACCCACUACACCACCAGGGUUUCCAACAUUGAGACAGGAAACUACAAAGCUCCAAUGAUUUUGACUUUGUUUACAGGACCUCAGUUUCUAAUGCUGAAAUUGCCCUUCUCCCAACCAACCCUCUCUUUGUCAAGUUCCUAUUGAAAUGCUAUGGGCCUCAUACUUGCCUGUAAGGUAUAUAGAAAGAGGAGUUUUUAAGUGCCUGCUAGUUACAAGAAAAGUAUAAUAUUAUCCAUCUACAGCCAGUUAGCUCAUUUAGUUAGGGCCCAGUGAGAAUAAGUGUUCUAAUGCACACAGGGUCACCAUGAGUCAGAACUGAUUCGACAGCAACAGGUUGCUUGGUUGAGGAUAAGGGUGAACUCCCAAGCCCUACCUUAACUCUCCGCUGCAAAAGAACCCAUUUGAACUCUCCUUCUUCCUUGGCUAAGAAGAAUGAACAGGUAGGAGACCUGGGGAGUCUCCUUAACUGGAGAUAAAUUGGCCAGCCCAAAGAGGAGGUAACUUGAAUUGGUGAGUAGAAAUGCUCUUUCUCUGAUUUAAUUAUUCAUGGACCAAGAUUUAAGGAACCUUAAAAAGUUGGCUGAAUAUUGUUUCAAAGUUUGGUGCUCCAGAGUUCCAGACCCAGGAUUCUAAGUGCCUGACUACUUUGUGCCGUUAGAUUUUUCUGCUAGCACCCCCCUCCCCCAAACACAUACCAAACCAAGCCCAUUAUGUUCCCCACCAAGCCAUCUCUUCUCCUGAUGACUUUGUUUCUGUUCAUGAUCACACUGUUCUCCCAAUCUAGGCUCAGCUAUCUUUGAACCCACCCUUCAUAGAUAGUCAGCUGUAAGAGAAAUUCAAGAAGUCUCUUAAAAA